AUUGAACGCUGGCGGCAUGCUUUACACAUGCAAGUCGAACGACAGCGCGGGCUUCGGCCUGGCGGCGAGUGGCGAACGGGUGAGUAAUGCAUCGGAACGUGCCCAGUAGUGGGGGAUAGCCCGGCGAAAGCCGGAUUAAUACCGCAUACGACCUGAGGGUGAAAGCGGGGGACCGAAAGGCCUCGCGCUAUUGGAGCGGCCGAUGUCGGAUUAGCUAGUUGGUGGGGUAAAGGCUUACCAAGGCGACGAUCCGUAGCUGGUCUGAGAGGACGACCAGCCACACUGGGACUGAGACACGGCCCAGACUCCUACGGGAGGCAGCAGUGGGGAAUUUUGGACAAUGGGGGCAACCCUGAUCCAGCCAUGCCGCGUGCGGGAAGAAGGCCUUCGGGUUGUAAACCGCUUUUGUUCGGGAAGAAAUCCUCUGGGCUAAUACCCCGGGGGGAUGACGGUACCGGAAGAAUAAGCACCGGCUAACUACGUG
This 484-nucleotide ribosomal RNA is filed under the name uncultured bacterium. RNAcentral's name for it is "partial 16S ribosomal RNA". It matches the Rfam family "Bacterial small subunit ribosomal RNA", at positions 29 to 507 of the family's 1533-position model. The record is from RNAcentral.